This 57-nucleotide transfer RNA is filed under the name Cricetulus griseus (Chinese hamster). It matches the Rfam family "tRNA", at positions 8 to 63 of the family's 71-position model. From Rfam's summary of the family: Transfer RNA (tRNA) molecules are approximately 80 nucleotides in length. Their secondary structure includes four short double-helical elements and three loops (D, anti-codon, and T loops). Lineage: Eukaryota; Metazoa; Chordata; Mammalia; Rodentia; Cricetidae. The record is from Rfam by way of RNAcentral.
UAGCUCAGUCUGUAGAGCAUGAGACUCUUAAUCUCAGGGUUGUGAGUUCAGGCCCAC